Acanthosepion pharaonis is the source of this 106-nucleotide non-coding RNA. Lineage: Eukaryota; Metazoa; Mollusca; Cephalopoda; Sepiida; Sepiidae. The record is from the annotation of a GenBank genome assembly.
ACGGCCAUACCACUUUUAAACACCUGCACGAUCACCGAUGUUAAGCAACCUCGAGCCUGAUUAAUACCGAGAUGGGUGACCGCUUGGGAAUACCAGGUGCUGUAAG